Long non-coding RNA from Tripterygium wilfordii, 543 nucleotides. RefSeq lists it as uncharacterized. NCBI's taxonomy places the organism in Eukaryota, Viridiplantae, Streptophyta, Magnoliopsida, Celastrales, Celastraceae. The transcript has 4 exons. The record is from RefSeq and is a predicted model, not a curated record.
CGCUACUACGGGCUCCUUCACACCGUACAACCGCGCUCCGUGGCCACUGCACACAGUGCACUUAUUCGACUACCAGUAUUGCUCUACGCGGGAUUCUUGUUUGACGAAUUGGUUCUUGUUGUAGCUUACCUGGUGGCUGGUGGAAAGGGAUUGUAGGUUGGAGUUCUUAAUCUAAAGAUGACUACAUUAUGUAGAAGCACAAGGGAUGAAACACUUGAAGAGCUUGAGGAGUAUAAGAGAACGUCUGAUGAGAGAGCAAGGAAAAUGGAAGAAGAUUUGACUAAGCUUACGCAGGCUUUGAUGAGAUUUACUAAAAGGGGCAAUGGCGAUAACAUUUGACAUGGAGCAAAGGAACAGCUACUACACAAGCUUUGGAGGAUUGAGAAUCUGGCAGAAUUGGAUCCAGUAGAACUAGUAGUAUUAUGUAUGUUUUUGGGAACAAGCUAACUAGUUUAGUUUUCUUUAUAUAUGUAUGUUUUUGGGAUAUUAUCAGUACUUCUUGAGAAGAGAAUUGAACAAUGAAUAUUGUUUUUCUAUUAUGAA